This 75-nucleotide transfer RNA is filed under the name Haplopteris ensiformis. RNAcentral's name for it is "tRNA-Ser". It matches the Rfam family "tRNA", at positions 13 to 70 of the family's 71-position model. Rfam says of the family: Transfer RNA (tRNA) molecules are approximately 80 nucleotides in length. The record is from RNAcentral. Lineage: Eukaryota; Viridiplantae; Streptophyta; Polypodiopsida; Polypodiales; Pteridaceae.
GAGAGGUUUAAAGCGUCGGAUUGCUAAUCCGUUGUACGAGUUUUCUGUACCGAGGGUUCGAAUCCCUUUCUCUCC